GGUACUCAGUUCGGAUUGCAGGCUGCAACUCGCCUGUAUGAAGUCGGAAUUGCUAGUAAUCGCGGAUCAGCAUGCCGCGGUGAAUACGUUCCCGGGCCUUGUACACACCGCCCGUCACACCAUGAGAGCCGGGAACACCCGAAGUCCGUAGUCUAACCGCAAGGAGGACGCGGCCGAAGGUGGGUUUGGUAAUUGGGGUGAAGUCGUAACAAGGUAAC
RNAcentral lists this ribosomal RNA (218 nucleotides) under uncultured bacterium. RNAcentral describes it as "partial 16S ribosomal RNA". It matches the Rfam family "Bacterial small subunit ribosomal RNA", at positions 1283 to 1500 of the family's 1533-position model. The record is from RNAcentral.